CGCCAUUGAAAGUUUGCAGAUGCCGAUUUUUGACCUUUUUCUGUGUACUUCUGAGAGAUUUGAAGGAAAAAGUGCAAAAGUGCCCUGCCAGCUGACAUGUUUAGCUAAGCGUAAAACAAUUUAGACACUGUUUUUUUUUUUUUUUUAUAUCCAGGUAUCUCAGCUUACACCAGAUUAAAUUCUGAACCUCCAAGACCUAUACCCCUAGAACCUUGGAGGGGGUAAAUCGCGGGAUAUGUCUCAAUUGGAUCACAGGUUCCCCCAUUGACUGUACACUUCUGCGCACAAGAGACCCUCCUUCACAGUGAUUGCUCCAUACCAAAUUUUUGGCCGCAGGUUCCCACCAGGAAUCGAACUCUCCACCCUGCCG
This 370-nucleotide long non-coding RNA is filed under the name Olea europaea (common olive). Its description in RNAcentral is "long non-coding RNA (OEUR_LNC012500)". Lineage: Eukaryota; Viridiplantae; Streptophyta; Magnoliopsida; Lamiales; Oleaceae. The record is from RNAcentral.